AAACCAUAAUAGAGGUACUACGUUUGUAAAUCCUUGAACCUUUCCUAAGCUUCAUAUAAAGACUCAUAAGCCCUUUGAUUAAAGGUGGAAAUCUCAUUUCUCAAUUU
This is a small nucleolar RNA of Mangifera indica (mango), 107 nucleotides long. The record is from RefSeq and is a predicted model, not a curated record. NCBI's taxonomy places the organism in Eukaryota, Viridiplantae, Streptophyta, Magnoliopsida, Sapindales, Anacardiaceae.